This 721-nucleotide ribosomal RNA is filed under the name uncultured bacterium. RNAcentral's name for it is "bacterial SSU rRNA". It matches the Rfam family "Bacterial small subunit ribosomal RNA", at positions 162 to 868 of the family's 1533-position model. The record is from RNAcentral.
GCUAAUACCGCAUAGAUCCAAGAACCGCAUGGUUCUUGGCUGAAAGAUGGCGUAAGCUAUCGCUUUUGGAUGGACCCGCGGCGUAUAAGCUAGUUGGUGAGGUAACGGCUCACCAAGGCGAUGAUACGUAGCCGAACUGAGAGGUUGAUCGGCCGCAUUGGGACUGAGACACGGCCCAAACUACUACGGGAGGCAGCAGUAGGGAAUCUUCCACAAUGGACGCAAGUCUGAUGGAGCAACGCCGCGUGAGUGAAGAAGGCUUUCGGGUCGUAAAACUCUGUUGUUGGAGAAGAAUGGUCGGCAGAGUAACUGUUGUCGGCGUGACGGUAUCCAACCAGAAAGCCACGGCUAACUACGUGCCAGCAGCCGCGGUAAUACGUAGGUGGCAAGCGUUAUCCGGAUUUAUUGGGCGUAAAGCGAGCGCAGGCGGUUUUUUAAGUCUGAUGUGAAAGCCCUCGGCUUAACCGAGGAAGCGCAUCGGAAACUGGGAAACUUGAGUGCAGAAGAGGACAGUGGAACUCCAUGUGUAGCGGUGAAAUGCGUAGAUAUAUGGAAGAACACCAGUGGCGAAGGCGGCUGUCUGGUCUGUAACUGACGCUGAGGCUCGAAAGCAUGGGUAGCGAACAGGAUUAGAUACCCUGGUAGUCCAUGCCGUAAACGAUGAAUGCUAGGUGUUGGAGGGUUUCCGCCCUUCAGUGCCGCAGCUAACGCAUUAAGCAUU